Molecule: ribosomal RNA, 1598 nt
Filed under: Clostridium perfringens
Lineage: Bacteria; Bacillati; Bacillota; Clostridia; Eubacteriales; Clostridiaceae
Description: partial 23S ribosomal RNA
Rfam family: Bacterial large subunit ribosomal RNA
Source: RNAcentral
GUCGUAACCGGGCUGAAGUCGUACCGUAAGGAGCGGUGGACUGGUUACGAGUGAGAAUGUUGGCAUCAGUAGCGAGAUGUGGGUGAGAAUCCCACAGGCCGAAAACCUAAGGUUUCCUCAGGAAGGUUCGUCCGCUGAGGGUUAGUCGGGACCUAAGCCGAGGCCGAAAGGCGUAGGUGAUGGACAACUGGUUGAUAUUCCAGUACCACUAUAAUCGUUAUUAUCGAUGGCGUGACGCAGGAGGAUAGUGUGUGCUAGCUAUUGGAUGCUAGUCUAAGCGUUUAGGCAGUGAGAGUAGGCAAAUCCGCUCUCAUAAUGCUGAGGCGUGAUGGGGAAGGUUCUACGGAACCGAAGUACAUGAUUCCACGCUGCCAAGAAAAGCGUCUAGAGAGAGAAGUAGUGCCCGUACCGCAAACCGACACAGGUAGGUGAGGAGAGAAUCCUAAGGCCGGCGGAAGAAUUACAGUUAAGGAACUCGGCAAAUUGACCCCGUAAGUUCGCGAGAAGGGGUGCCUACGAGAGUAGGCCGCAGAGAAUAGGCCCAAGCAACUGUUUAGCAAAAACACAGGUCUCUGCUAAAGCGUAAGCUGAUGUAUAGGGGCUGACGCCUGCCCGGUGCUGGAAGGUUAAGGGGAACACUUAGCGCAAGCGAAGGUGUGAACUUAAGCCCCAGUAAACGGCGGCCGUAACUAUAACGGUCCUAAGGUAGCGAAAUUCCUUGUCAGGUAAGUUCUGACCCGCACGAAUGGCGUAAUGACUUGGGCACUGUCUCAACUGUAAAUCCGGCGAAGUUGUAGUGCGAGUGAAGAUGCUCGCUACCCGCGAUUGGACGGAAAGACCCCGUAGAGCUUUACUGUAGCUUAGCAUUGAGUUUUGGUAUUGUCUGUACAGGAUAGGUGGGAGACUAGGAAACCAGGGCGUCAGCCUUGGUGGAGUCAACCUUGGGAUACCACCCUGACAGUACUGAAAUUCUAACUGGCGGCCAUGAAUCUGGUCACAGGACAUUGUUAGGUGGGCAGUUUGACUGGGGCGGUCGCCUCCUAAAAAGUAACGGAGGCGCCCAAAGGUUCCCUCAGAACGGUCGGAAAUCGUUCGAAGAGUGCAAAGGCAGAAGGGAGCCUGACUGCGACACCCACAAGUGGAGCAGGGACGAAAGUCGGGCUUAGUGAUCCGGUGGUACCUCGUGGGAGGGCCAUCGCUCAACGGAUAAAAGCUACCUCGGGGAUAACAGGCUGAUCUCCCCCAAGAGUCCACAUCGACGGGGAGGUUUGGCACCUCGAUGUCGGCUCGUCGCAUCCUGGGGCUGAAGUAGGUCCCAAGGGUUGGGCUGUUCGCCCAUUAAAGCGGCACGCGAGCUGGGUUCAGAACGUCGUGAGACAGUUCGGUCCCUAUCCGUCGCGGGCGUAGGAAAUUUGAGAGGAGCUGUCCUUAGUACGAGAGGACCGGGAUGGACUGACCUCUGGUGUACCAGUUGUUCCGCCAGGAGCACAGCUGGGUAGCUAAGUCGGGAAUGGAUAAACGCUGAAAGCAUCUAAGCGUGAAGCCAACCUCAAGAUGAGAUUUCCCAUAGCGUAAGCUAGUAAGAUCCCUUGAAGAAC